Long non-coding RNA from Lagenorhynchus albirostris (white-beaked dolphin), 1039 nucleotides. RefSeq lists it as uncharacterized. Lineage: Eukaryota; Metazoa; Chordata; Mammalia; Artiodactyla; Delphinidae. The transcript is spliced from 3 exons. The record is from RefSeq and is a predicted model, not a curated record.
CUCCGCGGGCUCACGGGGCGGGGAAGGGGGGUCGGGCUGCAGGAGGAGGCGCCCGGACCGCGGAGCAAGAGCCCGGGUAGCGGUCCGCGCCGGGGCGGGCGCUCCGUCAGCACCGGAACAAUACAAGCGCCUCGGAGCGAGUCCCCGAACCUGCCCUAGCCAAAAUGGCGGCCGAGAAAGAGCGGAAGUGACGGGGAGCUCUCGCGAGAACCAAGAGGAUUUGCCAUUGACCCACUAGGAGGCGCCGCGGAUAAUGGCCGCAGUGCGCCUCCAUGGCCCGUGUGCACGGCGGGCGCCUUCCUCUGGCCACAGCGCCGGCGGCGGAGGCACAAGCAGAGGGCCGCAGCACGCGCUGCACUCAGUCAGGUGGCCGCGCUGGGGAUCCUUGCGCGGGCCCAGCUGGGCCUGGACUACAUCUGGUGGGAGGGGGCGUGCGCGCAGCCCCGCGGCUCCACGUGCUGGGAAGCCCGCGCUCUCGGGCUGGGCAGCAGCCGGAAGGGCAGACACACCUGGCCGGUCAUGCCCGACACCUCCUGCUUUAAAUGAGGUGUGAGGGCCUCGUGCUUCACACACCCACUUGAGAUGAGACCCAACCCCAUGGAUGCUUGACCCCUUGCGGGUGAGGUGCGCUAUUCAGUGGCCAGGCCUGCGUUUUACAGAAGGCCGGCUGUUGCCCUGGGACUGGACAUUCUUCCGAAUCAGUGAUGGACUCUUCUCUUUGGCCUGAAGAAAACAAGUGGGAUCCCUAGCGUUUGAGGCCACUGGGCUGGUGAAGCCCAAGGAUGUGAAAUGAUGUUGCCAGUGGGCCUCCACAAGAUCCUUAAAAACCAGACUGUAGUCCCAAGCCUUUUAGUGCUCCCACAAUUUGCACAGCAUAGGACACAACGUGGGCCUUUGUAAAUUUAGGUCAACCCCAACCAACACAUUGUGUUCUCAACAUUCUUGAAUCCACCUUUUAUAGUUGAGUGCAUAUGAGUGUCUAUCACUGGCUAGACAUACUUAAAAGUAAUAAAUGUCAAUUGUGAAGGAUUAACCAAAC